RNAcentral lists this ribosomal RNA (499 nucleotides) under uncultured bacterium. RNAcentral's name for it is "bacterial SSU rRNA". It matches the Rfam family "Bacterial small subunit ribosomal RNA", at positions 24 to 518 of the family's 1533-position model. The record is from RNAcentral.
UCAGGAUGAACGCUAGCGACAGGCCUAACACAUGCAAGUCGAGGGGCAGCACAGGAGCAAUCUGAGGUGGCGACCGGCGCACGGGUGAGUAACACGUAUGCAACCUGCCUGUAAGCGGGGAAUAACCCGUUGAAAGACGGACUAAUACCGCAUAAUACUAAAUUACUGCAUGGUAAUUUAUUUAAACAUUUAUGGCUUACAGAUGGGCAUGCGCAUGAUUAGCUAGUUGGAGAGGUAACGGCUCCCCAAGGCAACGAUCAUUAGGGGUUCUGAGAGGAAGGUCCCCCACACUGGUACUGAGACACGGACCAGACUCCUACGGGAGGCAGCAGUGAGGAAUAUUGGUCAAUGGACGAGAGUCUGAACCAGCCAAGUCGCGUGCAGGAAGAAUUGUCCUAUGGAUUGUAAACUGCUUUUGCAGGGGAAUAAAGUGCAUCACGUGUGAUGUUUUGUAUGUACUCUGCGAAUAAGGAUCGGCUAACUCCGUGCCAGCCGCCGC